AGUUUGAUUCUGGCUCAGGACGAACGCUGGCGGCGUGCCUAAUACAUGCAAGUAGAACGCUGAAGGAGGAGCUUGCUCUUCUGGAUGAGUUGCGAACGGGUGAGUAACGCGUAGGUAACCUGCCUGGUAGCGGGGGAUAACUAUUGGAAACGAUAGCUAAUACCGCAUAAUAGUAGAUGUCGCAUGACAUUUGCUUAAAAGGUGCAAUUGCAUCACUACCAGAUGGACCUGCGUUGUAUUAGCUAGUUGGUGGGGUAACGGCUCACCAAGGCGACGAUACAUAGCCGACCUGAGAGGGUGAUCGGCCACACUGGGACUGAGACACGGCCCAGACUCCUACGGGAGGCAGCAGUAGGGAAUCUUCGGCAAUGGACGGAAGUCUGACCGAGCAACGCCGCGUGAGUGAAGAAGGUUUUCGGAUCGUAAAGCUCUGUUGUAAGAGAAGAACGAGUGUGAGAGUGGAAAGUUCACACUGUGACGGUAUCUUACCAGAAAGGGACGGCUAACUACGUGCCAGCAGCCGCGGUAAUACGUAGGUCCCGAGCGUUGUCCGGAUUUAUUGGGCGUAAAGCGAGCGCAGGCGGUUAGAUAAGUCUGAAGUUAAAGGCUGUGGCUUAACCAUAGUACGCUUUGGAAACUGUUUAACUUGAGUGCAAGAAGGGAGAGUGGAAUUCCAUGUGUAGCGGUGAAAUGCGUAGAUAUAUGGAGGAACACCGUGGCGAAAGCGGCUCUCUGGCUGUAACUGACGCUGAAGCUCGAAGCGUGGGGAGCAAACAGAUAGAUACCUGUAGUCCACGCCGUAAACGAUGAGUGCUAGUGUAGACCCUUCCGGGUUAGUGCGCAGCUAACGCAUUAGCACUCCGCCUGGGAGUACGACCGCAAGUGAACUCAAGAUGACCGGCCCACAGCGGUGGGCAUUGUAAUCGAGCACCGAGACUUACAGCUGACUCCCUGACGCAGAUAGCUCUCGACAGGACGUGGCAUGUGCUCAGCUGUGAGUUGUAGUCGACAGCACUACUUGCAGAUUCGACGAGAUCGGGUUAACGAUGGGGAUCUCCCAGAUCUGCCCUCU
Molecule: ribosomal RNA, 1072 nt
Filed under: uncultured bacterium
Lineage: Bacteria
Description: bacterial SSU rRNA
Rfam family: Bacterial small subunit ribosomal RNA (bases 1-955)
Source: RNAcentral